ACGUAGGGGGCUAGCGUUAUCCGGAUUUACUGGGCGUAAAGGGUGCGUAGGCGGUCUUUCAAGUCAGGAGUGAAAGGCUACGGCUCAACCGUAGUAAGCUCUUGAAACUGGGAGACUUGAGUGCAGGCGAGGAGAGUGGAAUUCCUAGUGUAGCGGUGAAAUGCGUAGAUAUUAGGAGGAACACCAGUUGCGAAGGCGGC
RNAcentral lists this ribosomal RNA (200 nucleotides) under Clostridioides difficile. RNAcentral's name for it is "partial 16S ribosomal RNA". It matches the Rfam family "Bacterial small subunit ribosomal RNA", at positions 525 to 725 of the family's 1533-position model. Lineage: Bacteria; Bacillati; Bacillota; Clostridia; Peptostreptococcales; Peptostreptococcaceae. The record is from RNAcentral.